This 498-nucleotide ribosomal RNA is filed under the name uncultured bacterium. RNAcentral describes it as "partial 16S ribosomal RNA". It matches the Rfam family "Bacterial small subunit ribosomal RNA", at positions 30 to 523 of the family's 1533-position model. The record is from RNAcentral.
AUUGAACGCUGGCGGCAUGCCUUACACACGCAAGUCGAACGGUAACAGGUCUUCGGAUGCUGACGAGUGGCGAACGGGUGAGUAAUACAUCGGAACGUGCCUAGUAGUGGGGGAUAACUACUCGAAAGAGUGGCUAAUACCGCAUGAGAUCUACGGAUGAAAGCAGGGGAUCGCAAGACCUUGUGCUACUAGAGCGGCCGAUGGCAGAUUAGGUAGUUGGUGGGAUAAAAGCUUACCAAGCCGACGAUCUGUAGCUGGUCUGAGAGGACGAUCAGCCACACUGGGACUGAGAAACGGCACAGACUCCUACUGGAGGCAGCAGUGGGGAAUUUUGGACAAUGGGCGCAAGCCUGAUUCAGCAAUGCCGCGUGCAGGAUGAAGGCCUUCGGGUUGUAAACUGCUUUUGUACGGAACGAAAAGCCCCGGGUUAAUACCCUGGGGUCAUGACGGUACCGUAAGAAUAAGCACCGGCUAACUACGUGCCAGCCGCCGCGGUAA